This 497-nucleotide ribosomal RNA is filed under the name uncultured bacterium. Its description in RNAcentral is "partial 16S ribosomal RNA". It matches the Rfam family "Bacterial small subunit ribosomal RNA", at positions 28 to 507 of the family's 1533-position model. The record is from RNAcentral.
GAUGAACGCUGGCGGCGUGCCUAAUACAUGCAAGUCGAGCGAACAGACGAGGAGCUUGCUCCUCUGACGUUAGCGGCGGACGGGUGAGUAACACGUGGAUAACCUACCUAUAAGACUGGGAUAACUUCGGGAAACCGGAGCUAAUACCGGAUAAUAUAUUGAACCGCAUGGUUCAAUAGUGAAGGACGGUUUUGCUGUCACUUAUAGAUGGAUCCGCGCCGCAUUAGCUAGUUGGUAAGGUAACGGCUUACCAAGGCAACGAUGUGUAGCCGACCUGAGAGGGUGAUCGGCCACACUGGAACUGAGACACGGUCCAGACUCCUACGGGAGGCAGCAGUAGGGAAUCUUCCGCAAUGGGCGAAAGCCUGACGGAGCAACGCCGCGUGAGUGAUGAAGGUCUUCGGAUCGUAAAACUCUGUUAUUAGGGAAGAACAAAUGUGUAAGUAACUAUGCACGUCUUGACGGUACCUAAUCAGAAAGCCACGGCUAACUACGUG